UUGAACAUGGGGGUUUUUGGGGUUCAUCUUUGGGGGAUGGGGGUGCUCAGGGAGGUCUGUCUAUCCCGGACAGAAGGGAACCCAUUAUUUUGCGUAUAGUGCCCAAAUCAAGUCUGGGUGUGCGUUCAUUUAGGGCGGGGUUAAACGAGUGAAUAGUGUCUGGCUCGGCGUAUAUGUCUGUGCGAGAAAGUGAUUUGCAUAUGCAGCCUAGCCUGACUGCACAUGUGUCAUCCAUCCUAAACAGAUGCGAAGACAUGUUGACACGGCCCCCCCGCCCAUCUCGAGGAAUACCACUACUGAAUAAACCCGAUCCAUCACGCUAAUAUCAGAGCCCCCUUGAAAUUCUGUGGGUUUCCCUCCUAGAAACAAACAUGGAUCAGUUUCUCAGAUGCUCAGUCUUAGAAUAAGGUGACGCAAAUCCACUGGGUCUGCACAAUAAGGGAAGCAAGGAUCUGCCCACAGCCAAUCACCUCUGAAUAACACAGGAAGUCAAGGAGUAGAGCGGCAUUGUUGACCCUUUAUGUGCCAGGGGUGAUUUGUCUGCCAUCUACUGAAUGUUGAGAACGUGGAAAAGAAAACACAGUAGCACAUAUGGCUGAGCAUUAUAGUGCUCUCUCUGAAAAAUGCUUGGAAAUUCUCACAUUUUAGCUCCUCAGUUCUAAGAAGUGUGAUUGUGAGAUUUUUUUAAAAGGAAAAAGACUAGGACCGUAUGAAUGGGUGUGUGUGUGAGUGUGUAUGUGAUUGUGCCCUGCGAUGGACUGGCACCCUGUCCAGGGUGUACCCCGCCUUGUGCCCGAUGCUUCCUGGGAUAGGCUCCAGGUUCCCGUGACCCUGAAGAAGGAGCAAGUGGUAGAAGAUGGAUGGAUGGAAGAUUAGGACCAGUCAAACACAGAUGCAACAAAGAAGCAAAUGCUCAAUUUUAGGCAUACAGUAUGUACACUUAAAGUGAACAAUCAACAUACACACAGAACUAGGUGCGCAUCUUACAAGCACAUUUCUCAGUUCAGGGGGUUUAGUAUGCUUGCGAAGCAGGGAUUGAUUGUAUUUUGAGGCGGCUCCUUGUGUAGAUUUUAGUUUAAGUCAUUACCAUGAAUUACGCACGUUCAAACAUCUUGAAACUCUCCUCUGGACCUGAUAUAGAGAUGCCAAUAACCACACAUCAGCUCUGUAUGACUUCCCACAAAAUAUUUUCAUGCACUCUCAAACCCAGAAAUCGAACAACCGACCUUCUCUCUAGUGGUAUACAUAUGCAAUAUUUGAACCAAUCAAUAAAAGGGGAUAGUCUCAGAAUAAACAAUGUAGUGGUUAGGAGUUGUUUGUGAUCGUGCGCACAGUGCGCCGUAAGAAUUCAAACAAGCCUACUUUUAAUAGAUACACUUACCUGAAUUUUACAAGUAGCGUUUGUAUUUUUGUUUUUGGUGGUGGUUUAUAUCAGUAGACAGUAAGAGAGAUGGUGAGUUUUGCUCUGUAUCAUAAUGACUCUCUUUGCUCACUGAACUGAAAGUAGCAAGUCUGGAUGGUGCAAAGCUGCACACACACACACAAAAAAAAAAUUCAUGUUUUCUCCCACUCGUUGUCUCAAAAUUAAGGAGCCAUUUCUGGCAAUGAGCUCUUGCCAUACUUCAUUGCAGACAUUAACGGUCCAUAAAGCAGCCGCGUAUGAGUUCAGUGGUAUUGCCACUAUUAAAGUUGAGAAUAUUAAUCUUAAAUUGAAAGAGGGGCUGGUAGACCAUAGACCAACAGAACCAGACAAUAGCAGUCUGACAAAACGCAAACAUAAAUAUUAAGUUCAAGACCAUUCUCAGUCUUCAUGAGUGCUUUUGGGGCCGUGGGAACGCAUGGAAAGUGCACGGGCUGCUUAUGGUGGCCUGAAUGCCUCUGCAGCAGGUGAAGAAUGACCGCAAAGGUCAAGGUCAAAGGGGGGGGGUCCUUGUCUGCUCGUCUCCGCUUCUGCACGGCUGGCCUGAUCUCUGCCUGUCUGGGACCAAAUGUAAAUGAGCCUGGCUGUUUAAUAAUCAGUCUGAGGCUAUAUUUGCUUAAGUUCUUACUUCUUUUAUGAUGCUGCUCUCAGACAGACAGAGCACAUGGUUGGGGGAACCCUCAUUUCACAUUCCCUACUAGAAAUAUCACAGAGAUAUAAUAUCAUGAAAGCAAGAUAUUUAAUCCAUCCCGUGCUCAAAGUGCAAACAUUUCCCAUGCUUACUGGCUCCCGUAAUUUGUCGACCGGUCCUCCUGUCUUUGCCUUCUCACAGUGGCAACCUGAUUGACACCCUUGCACUGGUGUUUUGUGUCUGGCAUUAGUUCCACAAUCAUUUAUUAGAAGCAUAUAGUCAUGUCAUAACGUCGAGAAUGAACACACAUACAUGGAACAGAACCACUGACAUUGUCCUGAUCGAAGCAGAAAUUCCCAUGAACAAUAAAACAAUGGGUAUUUAUUCAGAAACAAUGAGACGUGCAGCAGUAAUUUCACUGCACUGUCUGGUCACUUAUUGUGUGAUAUUUUCGGCAGUCUGAGAUUCUCCAGUGCUUAUUCAUUUGGUAUUGAACCGUCCCUCUCAGCAACUUUUUGACAGCCCACUGUCCCUGCAGUACUUUUAACUCAGAUAUGAAAGUAAGGAUUCGAUAACGGUUUUGAUAGGACACUCCAAAAGAGCAUAGCACUAUUUUGCCCACCCUUGAGAGCCUAACAUCACAUUCGGCAUCAGUAAAGCUCAAUGUGUGGCUUAUUUUAGAGAUAUUAAUGGAUUAAUGGAUAGCAAAUAUUUAAGAACAUUUUAUAUCAAUAUUAAAUAGCUAUUUCUUUGUCUGGACCAAAUUUAAACAAGAUGCAUAGGCAUGGUUUCUUUACAACAAAGAAAUACAAACCCAAGUGGGGUACCAAAUUAAUGGCUGUCUAGAAAUAAUCCACGCUGCUAUUGAAACAUGAGAAGACCCUUAACUGUAACUGCACUUGAUGUUAAACAGCAUGGCUGCCAUUACCCCUGUAAGAGGAGAGGCCAUUACCUCACCGAACACCGGCUGAGGAAGGAUGAGCAUGAAUGGGGCGAGUGGUCCGCUUGAACUUGCUGGUUUAGAUUCCUUUAUACCCACCACUUUAAGCUUCAUUUACUCAUCAGAAAAAAGAUCCCUCCUCCACCAACACCGCUUCAAUAGAUCUGUUCCUGCAUCAAACCCCCUUUCUCCUAUCCCUCCCCACCACCACCACCAACACCACACACCCCGUCGUUCUCCCUCUCGCUGUAGGUUUAAUCAUCUCAGCGCUCAGUGAAAUCAAGCUUAGUAAUGACACUUUUGUCGGCCUCUCACUUUCUCCCCCUCCUCAAACUUCUCCCCCUGCUUCUCCUUUUUCUCCCACCCACUGCUUAAAACCUUAUCCCAUGUCAACAAAAUGUCCGCUCAGCUGGGGCGCCACAAAAGCGGGCACGGUUUAACCUUCUACCUCCUGUCACUCAUUUGCUCUGUUCAUCUCUGUCUUGCUCUGUCCUAUAUCACUACUCCUAAAAUAUCCCAAAUAUGUCAUUGGAAUACAUGAAUAAUGUGCAGGUUUAUUCUGUGAGUAAAUAAUGUAACGUUAAAAAAUCCUUCCUUGUCCUGAGCUCAGUUUAAUCUGUGCCCACAAAUGACUAUAUAUUUGCACAGUACAAUUAUCCUUUCCAUGCAAACCAAAGGGAAAUCAUGUCAUCUUAAUAUUUUAAAAUACGAGAACAUUCAACACCAGAAAACCAGAACUGUCCUUUUUCCACUGGUCACCAGUCAAGUACACUCCUCAAGGAGGAGUGUACUUUCUAAAGCAGUUCUACAUCGAGCCUUUUUCUGAAAGGGAAACUCUCUGCUGUGAGGUUCUACAUAAAGCUCCUCCAGUCCCUUGUUAAUAAACAUUGUCAUUAGGUAUAAUUUUCCUCACCAAUUUGGAAUUGGCCAAUUCUGGCCCAGCAGCCAACUCUCCCCCAUUACUCUCUUGGACUCCCAGCCAUGGUUAGCUGUGGUAUCAUCAGGAUUCAAACUUUCGAACAUUGCGAUGAAAUGGCGAAUGCUUUUAUGUUGUGCCUCUCUGGAGCCCCUGAAGAACCCUUUAGGUGCUACAUGGAAUCUUUCUUUCUAAUAGUCUACUAAAUAUUCUCGUUAUGUAGUCCAGUUGGACUUAAUGGUCCUCAGGGGUGAAGCUAGCAGUACCACAUACAGUGCACUACACUCUUAUAAAAAAAAUAAAAAAAUGAAAGGUUCUAACUAGCACUGUUAAGCGUUCUUCAGUUUGUCCUACUGGGAGAACACAUAGGUUCUAUGUAAAACCCUAAACAGAGAACUGAGUUAAUUAAGAACUAAUCCAAGGGUGGCCCAAGGUGCGAUUUAACACCCAUUUUGGUGCACAUGAUCAUGACAAUGCAGUCUAGCUGUACUCUGAUAAUGCUGAUAAUGAUAAUACAGACUAGCUGUACUCUGAUAAUGCUGAUGAUGAUAAUGCAGACUAUCUGUACUCUGAAUUUGGCUGAACUAAACUAAAACAAAUGUUCCAUUGGCUUGUGUUUGUAUUCCUACUUGUUUAGAGUGUGCAGUGUAAAAAAACACUCUUGUUCAGCGCAUUAUGCCAAAGUCAAGGCCGUGAGCUUUAUUUUGAGUGUAAAUGCUGUGAUCAUGUUUUUCAGCCCAAAUUUAGCUUUUCACUCCUAACCAGAAAGUUUCAGCACAGCUCUACGUGGUUACAUCUGCUAAGUUGUGAUGAAUAAUAAGGUCCAGUGGUUUGCUCACUCAUCAUCCAUUUAUUUUUGGAAGCAGAGGGCAACCAGGUGAGGAGCAGUGUGUCUGUGCCACCUGCCUUUUCUGUUAGGCACGUGGACCGGACAGCUAUGGAGCGGGACCCAGGGGUCCUAAUUUCAGGAGUGGGAGGCGACAGAGUGAGUCCUUUUACUGAGCAAAGAUCAGUACAGGAACCCGAACAUACGUGUACGAGCAAAGCUCUACAGAAGAUGUUCAGAAUCACCUGCAUGUGAUCUCACCACUACACACACACACACACACACACACACACACACACACACACACACACACACGCACACACGCACACAUUGUACGCAGUGCACCAUUUGUACUAUCUCUCAUAUUUGCCCUGUGGGUCUCAUUUCAUGGCUUAGAAAAAAGAUAAUGAAAAGGCGUGUGAAAAACGCUCUAUUAAAGCUGUGCUUCAGAUCAGAGCGAGUGCUUAUUAUAGGUGUACAGGAAAGAGGACAGAGCAAAGAGUUCAGAGCGUGGCCUCUUUCCUCCAUCUCUGGGGUUUUCCACAGUCCUGCUGGGGCUUGGCUAGCCGGCUCACAAAGAUGGCCACCGUCAGCAGAAUCCCACCAGCCCACUUCACACCUACUGUAUGGUUCAGUUCUGAAUUUAGAAAAGAUCUCAUCCAGCUGCAGUGUGCACGUACAGACUGCAAGCUUCUAAUUGCUGUGUGAAGACAAAAAUUUAAUUAAGAGAAUAGGAAUUUGCUAGUGUGUUGUUUUGUUCAUGGAUUUUUAAAACCAUUUCUCAAUUGUUGGCUUGUUACAGUUACUGUACCAAAUUCAUACACAGUUUUGGUGAUAUCAGAUUUGUAUAAAAACUAAGGGUGAAAAAUGGUUGAAAAGGGAUUUUUAAAAACAUUUCAUAAAGACCCUUUUGAUUGCAGAAUCUUUAAACCUUUUUUUGUACCACAGUGAAAAAAACCCUGGAAAAUUCUGUUUAUUGUAGCGACAACAACAACAACAACAAAAAGCUUCAAAUUCAUGGAGCAAAAAAAAAAUACAAGCUUGUUUGGGAACUAAAUAUGUCUUCUUUGGCAUCACUCUAAAGAACCUUUUCGGCCACCUUUAUUUUUUACGAAUGUAUCAAACAUAUUUCAAGGCUUCCAAGUGGUCAAACAGAAAAGUGUCCAGAGAUUGUCAGCUUGAAUCCCAACGACGCUACGCCCGUCUGUGAUCGGGAAUCCAAGAGAGCAAAACUGGCUGUGUUCAGUGAUGUAAAAAAAAAUCCAGAGAGCCAUGUUCAUUCGCACAAUUUCAUUUUUGGUUUUGGUUUCGGGACUUUUUGUCACUUUCUGGUUGUUCGCUGCGAACUUUUUUUCAGGAGUUUUCAGUUACAAUUUGGGUACAAUAGCUAGCUUAGUGUAAUAUCACCAUAACUCUCAUUAGACUUUUCUUUGUAAAACCCGCCCACUCCAGAGGGUGUAGCUUAAAACUUAUGCAGCAAGAGUAAAAACAAGCAACGCCAGCAGUGAUUAAUCAGACCUGGAACUGGAUUAGUUUUAUAAAUAAAUAAAUAAAUAAAUAAGCAUGAAUUAAUGAUCAGUGAAUAAUCAUCAAAACCAGACGGCGGGUCAUUAUUUUCGAUACUUUCUUUUAGACAAUUUCAAUUAUUUAUUUUUAAAUACAUUACAAUUCUUUCUGUCUUCACACAAAUUCAAAUUCACACAAGUUGUAUAGAAAUGUAGCUAAGCGUCUGUUGGUUAAUAUAUUUAUCUAUUAGUAGGAGUGAUAUUCACUGUGAAAUCGAAACCACCUUGCCGCAAAUUAAUCAAGUAUGUCCGUACUACACACUGACGUCAUGCCUCAGCCUGGCUUUUUCAAGCAGCAUCCCCAAAUCCUUUCCAGCGAGUGUUAACUUUCUUUGUGCAGAGUUUUGGGAAGAAAGGAUUUCUGGGGUGUAACAGACAGGCAGUGACCCUUAGCCCCGGCUCUCCACGGGUUCCUGCUUCCCAUAGGCCUGGCCGCCAUUUCUGUCCUCUGGCACCCAUUCACAGCUCAGUCACGGCCUCUUAAAGCUGCCCACAAUCUCCUGAUUCAGCCGAGGCGUGAUCCAAUGACAUGGAUUUUUAAUGAGAGGCUACGUCUUUGUUGGAAACACACAAUAUCCAGGCGGAGGAGGGGGGUUCAGGAGAGGAACGGGACCGCAGACUAACACCCUCCUACAUGCACUGAACUUUCUCACUUUGUCCUCGUUUUUCUAGCACUUUUUCUCUCUGCCUCUCUUGGCUUCAUCAGUUGGCUGUGACUGGAGAACUAGAGGGAAAAAAAAAUCAUACAAUCCCAGAAUAGAGAAAAAAAAAAGAAAAAGCCCACAGUCAAAUUCUCUCCACUUUCUGCACUUCAGUGCUUCCCCUCACUUAGCAUGAUAAUGUCAUCAGAAAUCUGGGCCUCAAUGCAGUUGCCUUUGAACACGCAUAAUACGCGGAAUGUUCUUAUGUUGAACAUUUGUGUAUUUUUAAACCAAUCAGCAUCAUGCGGAGUGUUAAACACAGAGCACUCAUCAGACUCCUGAGAGCCGCUUAGUGCUCACAUCACCAUUUACACAGCGUUUAGUGCCGACGCAGACUAAAUUCAGUCUAGACAUUCAUUUCCAAAUCUUCACCCUAAAUACACCCCUCUCCACUUCAAACACACACUCACACAACCACAACCACCACUGCCCAAUGUGUCGGUCUUACCCUCACACACAUAAUUAAACUCUCGCACCCAGACACCCUUCCUCCCCUAUCACUCGUUCAAAUUGUAUUCCCCCACUUGGACCUAGACACCCUGGUACAUCUGCUAAAUCCCAAUGUCUCACCCCAUACACACACACACACACACACACACACACGCCUCUUAAUUGGAAAUAUACUAUAACAAAUGGCACCCCCUCCUGUCUGGCCUUGUUAUGGAUCCAGUACCCUGUAAUGUAAAGAUUUUAUGUAUAAUUAGUAUGUAUUAUGUAUGUAUUAUUGCAUUAUGUAUAAGUAGUAGGGUUUUUCGUAGGGUAGGGUUGGUGUCGUCUUGAAAACUUUCAUAAGAAACGGCUCGACUUGACUCAAAAAUCAUUACACAGUCCACAGGCAACUUUAUGUAACAAAUUAUAUGCAUAUGGGGGGGGGGGGGGGGGGGGGGGGGGGGGGGGGUAAUAAUGCAGCAUUAUUUAACACCCGAAACACUGAAACACACUGCAUACUAAGACAAAUGGAGGCACUCAAGUCAUUUGCAUUCAUUUCACAGACUCCAAAAAGCGCACCAUUUUUCUUAGGUCAGUGUCGGAAAAGCGUUCGUUAGCAGUCAAGCAGCGAAAAAUGUGUGUGAAGGAUUAAAAAUGUUUAUUGUAUACAUUAAAGGAAUGAAACAUUAAUCAUCUCUGGCUACUAUACAGUUAAACAGUGUGAUUACUACAGCCAACAGUGUGUAUGUGUGAGUGCGUGUAUCAGAGUGGGUAUCAGGAUCAUAGUUGUAGCUGAACUUCAUUUGAUGAACAAAAAUCAGGAAGUAGCCUUUCAGUGAGGUAUUACUUCUUAUUUCAUAGAAAUAUUUUAUAUAUAUGAGAACAUGUACCACUUAUAUCACAAAGUAAGCAGACAUUUUGAUUAAUAGUAUCUCAAUAUUUGAAUUUCUUCAGCUGAUAACGUGGCUUAAGUCAUAUAUAUAAAUAUAUAAAUAUAUACAUAUGAUAUAUGAAGGACAAAAAAACAAAUCACUGUGUCUCAACUGUGCGUGUGUGUGUGUGUGUGUGUGUGUGUGUGUGUGUGUGUGUGUGCGUGUGCGUGUGUCUGUCUGUCUGUCUGUCUGUCUACUCUUGUUGUCCCAGAGGCCAUGUUAUGUUUUCUCCCAAAGGGCUUCCUUCAUCCCCAACACACACACACACACAGACGCACACAGACAGACACACUUCCCAGAACAAGAGGUCACGUCGAGGAUCCAGACAGAGUGUGUUUGUGUGUGUGUGGGACCAGACAGUCUGUGUGGUGACCUGUGUCUUUAGACAGGCUCAGAGGUCACCAUGUUCUGUGUGUGUGUGUAGAGUUUUAGACAUCAUAUUUUUUGGCCUUUCCCCUCUCCAUCCUCCUGUACAGCAGUGUUUUAAACACCAGAGAGACUCAUUUAGCUCAGACUUGUAUUCCACACCUAGUAAAAAGCACUAACAUUCUCUCUGAAACCCGAAUUCAAAAAUUUAAUGACGACGCUCGCGAUUCAGUGUAAUUUAGUCGCAAUGCUUUGAAGCAUUUUUAUAAACGUGAAUAAUGCCUCCAGUUCAACAUCCAAUAAAGCGCUAUCUAAUUAAAUCCUUGAUGACUUCUAACAUGAUGUAACCUAAGUGUAACUAUUCAUCAUAACACAUACAAAAAUGUAAUAUACUGAAAUUAUAAUGUAUUCCGGUCAUAUUUUGGAGUGCAUUAACAAGAGUCUAUUUUCACAAGCGCGUCAGACUGCGUUUAUUUGCGGUUUAGUUUUCGUUCUUUUUUUUAUUAUCUGCAUUUAUAUGUUGUUAAAAAGGAGACAAAGAGCAAGGAAGUCUGCAUACUAAACACUUACAAAAUGGAGGUCUGGGUUGUAUGUAGUAGUCUUAUAUAUAUAUAUAUAUAUAUAUAUAUAGUAUGUGAAGGAAGUAUUCUUCUCUUUCAGCAUUUUUUGUCAUUUUGAAAUACAUCAACCAAUUAUACAAUAUCGUUGUACUUAUUAUGGCCUGUUACAUAACAUUUGAAUGAUACACAUGCAUUUAACUGAACUGUGAGUGAAUAAAGUUUUACUGGUUGUUAUUAUUACAUCUGAAAUAUAUUUUUUUAAAACCUGUUCUUUCUUUUAUAUUAAAUGAUAAUAGGUGCAUCAGUCAGUCUGAUUGUACACACAUACAGUAUUUAUGAUAAUGAUAGUGAUAUUUUCUCCUUAUUGGAUUGUUUUGCUCUUUACACACAGAUCGUUUUCCCGAGCGAUACAGACCAGGACAAGUGUGUCCCAACAGGCGCGUGUGAUGAGACAGACCGCACUAUAGUGAAGACAGUGAUGUUCAGCUGCUCUCAUUCUGCUUGAACACAGUGAGAGGAAAACACCUAUAAGAAUAUCACCAUGGGACUCGAGAGAUUUUUGUGAAGUACAAAAUGAGUUUCUGCUGAACUUACCUUUGCUCUCGGGCCUCUUUUGAUUAAUAACAUGGACAUUUCAUCAUGGCAUUUUUGGUCUCCGGGUUAUUCCAGAACACUGGACUAGAUACACGAGGUAAGUAGAUAAAAAAUAUAAGCGGUAAUAUGCCUUAUUGAAAAAGAAUCUAUGCAUAUGCAUAUUUCAUAGAUGUUUAAAUUUUAUUUAUGUAUAAUAUAGCACUAAAUUAACAAUUGACUUAUGUGUGUACUUCUAUACACUUUUAUGUUGCAUACCUACAUCACAAUUAAAAAUAUAUACUUUCUAAAGUCAUGCUAAUUUUAUGCCAUUUCCAAUAAAGUUUUCAAAUUCCACCAUGUCUCACAGUGUCUCUUUAUUUCAUCAUAGAUCAGUCUUAACAAAAUGAUGUGCAUGCUAAAGGUUAGUACAUUACGAUUAUGAUUAUUCCAGCCCGAGUGUGAAUGAGACUGGAAUUAAAUAAAUAUACAUCAGCUUGUACAGUUGCAAUCAAAAUGAUCCAGCCCCCAUUGCAAAUCGGGUUUAUUGUCAAAAUCAUUUGUGAUGAACAAAUCAAACAAAAGCAAUAGAAAUAGUUCAAUACAACGAACGCUUCAAGUGGUUUCUCCCAUUUCAGCUGAAAAUGCAACUUAUAAUGAUUUCUCCAGUCUCGAAAUUAUUCAACCAGUUCAUGGCAAGCGUCUUUAGUACUUAGUAGACACCCUUUUGCUGUUAUGACCUGUUGCAAACGAGAUGCUUAGCUUCUGACAGUGUUCCUGAGGAAUCUUAGCCCAUUCCUCAUUAGCAAUGGCCUCCAGUUCAGUAAUAUUCUUGGGUUUGCGUGCUGCAACCGCCGCCUUCAAAUCCCACCAGAGAUUUUCCAUGGGGUUCGAGUCAGGUGACUGUGAUGGCCCUGUAGAAUCUUCCAGGACUUCUUCUGCAACCAAGUCUUGGUGGAAUUUGAGGUAUGCUUGGGAUCAUUGUCCUGUUGGAAGGUCCAAUGACACCCAAGCUUCACCUUCCUCACAGAUGGCAUGACGUUUUCUCCUAGGAUUUCCUGAUACUUCAAUGAAUCCAUCUUGCCUUCCACACGCUGCAGAUUUCCAGUGCCAGAGGAUGCAAAGCAGCCCCAGAGCAUCACCGAGCCACCACCAUGCUUGACUGUGGACAGAGUGUUCUUUCUUCAUUCUUCUUCCUCCAGACAUACCGCUGAUCCAGUUCCAGUUUCAUUUCAUUGCUCCACAGAACAGAAUCCCAAAACUUCUGCAGUUUAUUUAUAUGAUUUUGAGACUUUUCUUGUGCUUUUGGGUCAGUAAUGGCGUACGUCUUGGAGUUCUGGCAUGGAAACCAUCCAUCCAUCCAUCCAUCUUCUAUACCACUUAUCCCUUUUUUCAGGGUCACAGGGAACCUUGAGCCUAUCCCAGGGAGCAUGGGACACAAGGCGGGGUACACCCUGGAUAGGGUGCCAAUCCAUCGCAGCUCACAGGCAUGGAAACCUUCUGCAUUUAAUACGUGCCUUACUGUGCUCACUGAAACCUCAGUGUCUGUUGCCACCAAGUCCCACUGCAGGUCUUUUGCAGUCACUCGAGGGUUUUUCACAACCUGCCUUCUCAGAAAUCUGCUCGCAGCCGUCGAUAGCUUCCUUUUUCUACCCCUGCCCUUGGUCAGUUCAGGUAUUUCAUGUGUUCCAGCUCAAGCACACCUGGUGCAAUUAAUGAAGCCGUUGAUUGGUUACAUCAGGUGUGCUUGAGAACACACCUGUUUUGCAUAUUGGUGCUGUUGUGAGGGAUUCUAUUCAGGGGGGUGAAUCAUUUUGAAACUGGAGAAAUCAUUAUAAGCUGCAUUUUCAGUUGAAUUUGGGGAAACCACUUGAAGCAUUCGUUGUGUUGAACUAUUGCGAUUGCUUUUGUUGGAUUUGUUCAUUGCAAACUGCUGAAAGUCUGUACAUUCUGACAAUAAACCUGAUUUGCAAUGCAGGUUGAAUAAUUUUGAUUGCAACUGUAUGAGUCAUGUAAAUUACUAAUAGUGAGUGUGUGCGUGUUUAUGAGUGAGACAGAGAGAGAGAGAGAGAGAGAGAGAGAGAGAGAGAGAGAGAGAUGCAUAUCCAUUGAAUAAUACUUAUUCAGCCUCUCUGCUCUCCUCUUGGGUGGGCUACUUAGAGUGCACUGAACUGAUGGAGUGGGGUGAGAACCGGCAUGUGGACUUAAA
This is a long non-coding RNA of Ictalurus punctatus (channel catfish), 12065 nucleotides long. Lineage: Eukaryota; Metazoa; Chordata; Actinopteri; Siluriformes; Ictaluridae. The record is from Ensembl.